This 496-nucleotide ribosomal RNA is filed under the name uncultured bacterium. RNAcentral describes it as "partial 16S ribosomal RNA". It matches the Rfam family "Bacterial small subunit ribosomal RNA", at positions 28 to 506 of the family's 1533-position model. The record is from RNAcentral.
GAUGAACGCUGGCGGCGUGCCUAAUACAUGCCAGUCGAGCGAACAGAUGAGGAGCUUGCUCCUCUGACGUUAGCGGCGGACGGGUGAGUAACACGUGGAUAACCUACCUAUAAGACUGGGAUAACUUCGGGAAACCGGAGCUAAUACCGGAUAAUAUAUUGAACCGCAUGGUUCAAUAGUGAAAGACGGUUUUGCUGUCACUUAUAGAUGGAUCCGCGCCGCAUUAGCUAGUUGGUAAGGUAACGGCUUACCAAGGCAACGAUGCGUAGCCGACCUGAGAGGGGGUUGGGCACACUGGAAAUUGGAAACGGGUCCCACACCCACGGGGGGGCAGAAGGGGGAAAUUUUCCGAAAUGGGGGAAAGCCUGCGGGAGCAACGCCGGGGAGGUAUAAAAGGUCUUGGGAUCGAAAACCUUUUUUAUUAGGAAAAAAAAAAUUUGAAAUUAACUUUGCCCGCUUUGAGGGUACCAAUUAAAAAAGCCCCGGCAAAUUCCGG